AGUUGCGAUGGUGCGAGGCUAAGCAUAUCUCUUAAAGCUGCUCUCAGUUGGGAUUGCGGGCUGCAACGCGCCUGCAUGAAGACGGAAUCGCUAGUACUCGCGGAUCCGCACGCCGCGGUGAAUGCGUUCCCGGGCCUUGGACACUACGCCCGUCACACCGCGAGAGUUUGUAACAGCCGAAGUCGGUGAGGUAACCGUUGUGGAGCCAGCCGCCUAGGGUGGGAUGGAUGAUUGGGGUGACGUCGUUACAAGGUAGCCGUAUCGGAAGGUGCGGCUGUAUCUCCUCUUUU
This 290-nucleotide ribosomal RNA is filed under the name Enterococcus lactis. Its description in RNAcentral is "partial 16S ribosomal RNA". It matches the Rfam family "Bacterial small subunit ribosomal RNA", at positions 1245 to 1533 of the family's 1533-position model. Lineage: Bacteria; Bacillati; Bacillota; Bacilli; Lactobacillales; Enterococcaceae. The record is from RNAcentral.